GACGAACGCUGGCGGCGUGCUUAACACAUGCAAGUCGAACGGAAAGGCCCUGCUUUUGUGGGGUGCUCGAGUGGCGAACGGGUGAGUAACACGUGAGUAACCUGGCCUUGACUUUGGGAUAACUUCAGGAAACUGGGGCUAAUACCGGAUAGGAGCUCCUGCUGCAUGGGGGGGGUUGGAAAGUUUCGGCGGUUGGGGAUGGACUCGCGGCUUAUCAGCUUGUUGGUGGGGUAGUGGCUUACCAAGGCUUUGACGGGUAGCCGGCCUGAGAGGGUGACCGGCCACAUUGGGACUGAGAUACGGCCCAGACUCCUACGGGAGGCAGAAGUGGGGAAUAUUGCACAAUGGGCGGAAGCCUGAUGCAGCAACGCCGCGUGCGGGAUGACGGCCUUCGGGUUGUAAACCGCUUUCGCCUGUGACGAAGCGUGAGUGACGGUAAUGGGUAAAGAAGCACCGGCUAACUACGUG
RNAcentral lists this ribosomal RNA (468 nucleotides) under uncultured bacterium. RNAcentral describes it as "partial 16S ribosomal RNA". It matches the Rfam family "Bacterial small subunit ribosomal RNA", at positions 28 to 507 of the family's 1533-position model. The record is from RNAcentral.